GCUGGCGGCGUGGAUAGGCAUGCAAGUCGCACGAGAAAGUUCCCUUCGGGGAGCGAGUAAAGUGGCGAAAGGGUGAGUAAUGCGUAGAUAACCUACCCUCGAGACGGGGAUAACAGCCCGAAAGGGCUGCUAAUACCGGAUAGGGCGCGGGCGGCUUCGGUUGCCCGAGCUAAAGGUGGGGACCUUCGGGCCUGCCGCUCGAGGAGGGGUCUACGUCCUAUUAGCUUGUUGGUGGGGUAACGGCCCACCAAGGUGACGAUGGGUAGCCGGCCUGAGAGGGUGUCCGGCCACACUGGGACUGAGACACUGCCCAGACUCCUACGGGAGGCUGCAGUCGAGAAUCUUCCGCAAUGGGCGAAAGCCUGACGGAGCGACGCCGCGUGGACGAUGAAGGCCUUCGGGUUGUAAAGUCCUUUCGCGCAGGAGGAAAGGCAGGGCGUUAAUAGCGUCUUGUUUGACGUUACUGUGUAAAGAAGCUCCGGCUAACUUCGUGCCAGCAGCCGCGGUAACACGAAGGGAGCGAGCGUUGUUCGGAAUCACUGGGCAUAAAGGGCACGUAGGCGGCCUGGUAAGUUGGAUGUGAAAGCCCCUGGCUCAACCAGG
This 603-nucleotide ribosomal RNA is filed under the name uncultured bacterium. Its description in RNAcentral is "bacterial SSU rRNA". It matches the Rfam family "Bacterial small subunit ribosomal RNA", at positions 35 to 617 of the family's 1533-position model. The record is from RNAcentral.